This 253-nucleotide ribosomal RNA is filed under the name uncultured bacterium. RNAcentral describes it as "partial 16S ribosomal RNA". It matches the Rfam family "Bacterial small subunit ribosomal RNA", at positions 524 to 776 of the family's 1533-position model. The record is from RNAcentral.
GACGUAGGGGGCGAGCGUUGUUCGGAAUUAUUGGGCGUAAAGAGCUUGUAGGCGGGAAAGUAAGUCUUUGAAUAAAGGCUAAGGCUCAACUUUAGUAAGUUCGGAGAUACUGCUUUUCUUGAGAACAGGAGAGGGGAGUGGAAUUCCUAGUGUAGCGGUGAAAUGCGUAGAUAUUAGGAGGAACACCAGUGGCGAAGGCGGCUCUCUGGCCUGUUUCUGACGCUGAGGAGCGAAAGCUGGGGGAGCGAACGGG